CCUACGGGGUGCAGCAGUGGGGAAUAUUGCACAAUGGGGGAAACCCUGAUGCAGCGACGCCGCGUGAGUGAAGAAGUAUUUCGGUAUGUAAAGCUCUAUCAGCAGGGAAGAUAAUGACGGUACCUGACUAAGAAGCCCCGGCUAACUACGUGCCAGCAGCCGCGGUAAUACGUAGGGGGCAAGCGUUAUCCGGAUUUACUGGGUGUAAAGGGAGCGUAGGUGGCAGGGCAAGUCAGAUGUGAAAACCCGGGGCUCAACCCCGGGACUGCAUUGGAAACUGUUGAACUGGAGUACAGGAGAGGUAAGCGGAAUUCCUAGUGUAGCGGUGAAAUGCGUAGAUAUUAGGAGGAACACCAGUGGCGAAGGCGGCUUACUGGACUGUAACUGACGUUGAGGCUCGAAAGCGUGGGGAGCAAACAGGAUUAGAUACCCGGGUAGUC
RNAcentral lists this ribosomal RNA (440 nucleotides) under uncultured bacterium. RNAcentral describes it as "partial 16S ribosomal RNA". It matches the Rfam family "Bacterial small subunit ribosomal RNA", at positions 338 to 795 of the family's 1533-position model. The record is from RNAcentral.